AUUGAACGCUGGCGGCAUGCCUAACACAUGCAAGUCGAACGGGGGCAGCAAUGCCCUAGUGGCGGACGGGUGAGGAAUACGUAGGAACCGGCCCACGAGUGGGGGACAACCUGGGGAAACCCAGGCUAAUACCGCAUACGCUCGCGAGAGGAAAGCGGGGGGACCUUCGGGCCUCGCGCUGGUGGACGGGCCUACGUCCGAUUAGCUAGUUGGUGGGGUAAAAGCCUACCAAGGCGACGAUCGGUAGCUGGUCUGAGAGGAUGAUCAGCCACACUGGGACUGAGACACGGCCCAGACUCCUACGGGAGGCAGCAGUGGGGAAUAUUGGGACAAUGGGCGCAAGCCUGAUCCAGCAAUGCCGCGUGGGUGAAGAAGGCCUGCGGGUUGUAAAGCCCUUUAAGCGGGGAGGAAAGCCGGGGUGUGAAUAGCGCCUCGGGGUGACGUUACCCGCAGAAUAAGCACCGGCUAACUCCGUGCCAGCAGCCGCGGUAAU
RNAcentral lists this ribosomal RNA (493 nucleotides) under uncultured bacterium. RNAcentral's name for it is "bacterial SSU rRNA". It matches the Rfam family "Bacterial small subunit ribosomal RNA", at positions 29 to 524 of the family's 1533-position model. The record is from RNAcentral.